UACGUACCGUCCAAACGUUAUUCGGAAUUACUGGGCUUAAAGGGUACGUAGGCGGCGCUGUCAGUCGGGUGUGAAAGUCCCACGGGCUCAACCCUGGAACUGCGCCCGAUACUGCAGUGCUUGAGGGAGACAGAGGUAAGCGGAACUGAUGGUGGAGCGGUGAAAUGCGUUGAUAUCAUCAGGAACACCAGUGGCGAAAGCGGCUUACUGGGUCUCUUCUGACGCUGAGGUACGAAAGCCAGGGGAGCGAAGGG
RNAcentral lists this ribosomal RNA (254 nucleotides) under uncultured bacterium. RNAcentral describes it as "partial 16S ribosomal RNA". It matches the Rfam family "Bacterial small subunit ribosomal RNA", at positions 524 to 775 of the family's 1533-position model. The record is from RNAcentral.